CCUACGGGAGGCAGCAGUGAGGAAUAUUGGUCAAUGGGCGAGAGCCUGAACCAGCCAAGUCGCGUGAGGGAGUACUGCCCUAUGGGUUGUAAACCUCUUUUGUCGGGGAGCAAAAGCCGCACGUGUCCGGCUGUGAGAGUACCCGAAGAAAAAGCAUCGGCUAACUCCGUGCCAGCAGCCGCGGUAAUACGGAGGAUGCGAGCGUUAUCCGGAAUUAUUGGGGUUAAAGGGUGCGCAGGCGGAUUUUUAAGUCAGCGGUCAAAUCGUGGGGCUCAACCCCAUCCAGCCGUUGAAACUGGGGAUCUAGAGUGUGCGAGAGGUAUGCGGAAUGCGUGGUGUAGCGGUGAAAUGCAUAGAUAUCACGCAGAACCCCGAUUGCGAAGGCAGCAUACCGGUGCACAACUGACGCUCAGGCACGAAAGCGUGGGUAUCGAACAGGAUUAGAUACCCGUGUAGUC
Molecule: ribosomal RNA, 458 nt
Filed under: uncultured bacterium
Lineage: Bacteria
Description: partial 16S ribosomal RNA
Rfam family: Bacterial small subunit ribosomal RNA
Source: RNAcentral